This 760-nucleotide ribosomal RNA is filed under the name uncultured Bacillota bacterium. RNAcentral's name for it is "bacterial SSU rRNA". It matches the Rfam family "Bacterial small subunit ribosomal RNA", at positions 54 to 816 of the family's 1533-position model. Lineage: Bacteria; Bacillati; Bacillota. The record is from RNAcentral.
CAUGCAAGUCGAGUGCGCGGUUGUAGCAAUACAACUGGCGCACGGCGCACGGGUGCGUAACACGUGGGUAAUCUGCCCUCUGAUGGGGAAUAACUCGCCGAAAGGCGAGCUAAUUCCGCAUAAUAUUCCGAGAACCUCGGUUUUUGGACUGAAAGGCGUAAGUCGUCGGAGGAGGAGCCCGCGCACGAUUAGCUAGUUGGUAGGGUAAUGGCCUACCAAGGCUUUGAUCGUUAGCUGGUCUGAGAGGAUGGCCAGCCACACUGGAACUGAGACACGGUCCAGACUCCUACGGGAGGCAGCAGUGGGGAAUCUUGCACAAUGGGCGAAAGCCUGAUGCAGCGACGCCGCGUGGGGGAUGAAGCUUCUCGGAGUGUAAACCCCUUUCGAUCCGGACGAAUGCCUCGCAAGAGGAGUGACGGUACGGAUAUAAGAAGCCCCGGCUAACUACGUGCCAGCAGCCGCGGUAAGACGUAGGGGGCCAGCGUUGUUCGGAAUUACUGGGUGUAAAGGGUUCGUAGGCGGUGCGGCAAGUCGGGAGUGAAAUCUCUGGGCUCAACCCAGAGACUGCUUCCGAAACUGCUGUGCUUGAGUGUGGGAGAGGCGCGUGGAAUUGCAGGUGUAGCGGUGAAAUGCGUAGAUAUCUGCAGGAACACCCGUGGCGAAAGCGGCGCGCUGGACCACUACUGACGCUGAAGAACGAAAGCUAGGGGAGCAAACAGGAUUAGAUACCCUGGUAGUCCUAGCCCUAAACGAUCAGGAA